GCAUAUGGUGAUGGUAUGUUUUUGUUGACCGGAAUCCCGAUCCAUUGUUUAGGCCCGUAACCCUAUCUGGUGGUGGAAGAAGAUUGUCUUAGCUAUUCUUAUUCCUCAUUUGAUUGAAUAGAAGGUGGAAGAUGGCAAGCAGGGUUACCCUGUUUUGCUGGCAGAUGAUAUCCAAUUCCAGUUUUAAUCAUGCAAGUUUGUGUAUUUGUCCAGUUUGAUAUAUGGUGAUAUGAGUUUAGCUUGAACUACUUUGCUUCAUUCCAUAAAAAGACGGGGCCGAGGAGAAACCACCCCUUCAUUCAAAAAUAUGAGUUUAACUGCAUUGUCUCUUCUAAUCCCGUGUUUAUUCUCUGUUGGACCCAAAACGUAUAAAAUUUGGCACCACCUACAUUGUCUGUUCUUGUCCAGAGUCUUCGGACCUAUCAAUGUUUACUAUAUUGUGCUUAUCUGUUAUUGUGGAUUUGAUCUCGGAUUGACAACGAUCCUUAGAUUCGCAGUGAAUUUGUGUUUCUUACUUUCCACCGCGUUCUGAUUAGGGUUGACAACUAUACACCAAAUUAUCUUCGGGGUUGUGCAUUUCUAGUCCGAGGAUCUCCUCGUAUAUGGUGGUGGUAUGUUUUUGUGUACCAGAAUCCCGAUGUACUCUUAUUUAGGCCCGAAACCCUAUCUGGUGGAACAAGAAUGUCGAGGAUGGAAAGCAGGGUUACCCUGUUUUGCUGUCAGAUGAUAUCGGACAUAAGUUGAUAUGACUUUAUGUUUCCUAUUAGCUUGUUCCUGUUUGUUUGCAUUGCAUGAGGAAUCCAGAGAUGUGCAUGAAAAGGGGUGCAGUAGUUUACAUACGAUGGAAUAUUAGCUACAGAUUUUUAAUCUUGGCAGUGUAAUUAUAUUAUGAACGCUGCAGUGCUGCGUGAGAUACUGGAUAACUAGGUGCUAGGUCUCCUCUUGUUAUAGCAGCACAUAUUGUUGUUUUGAUGUUAACUUUGGAAUGUUUCGAUGGAAUUGCUGUGGCAUAGCUGUUUUCUUCUCCUGAACCUUUCUUAUUGCAUUAUUGCUUGCAGUUCUUGUUUCGGACGGGUUGCUAGUUUGUUUCCAGAACUGUGUGAUAACUGUCAUGAAACUGUAAAUAAUAUUAACUAACCAGGUGCUUGGUCUUCUCUUGUUAUAACACUUUGUUGUUGGAAUUGCUGUGGCAUAACUGUAGUAAAUAAAUCUAUUUCUGUACAAAUUGUGGAGUUCAUCUUAACUAACCAAUGUUUGGUUUUGUUUCCUUCUAUUCAGAGGUGUCUGUGGAGGAGAAGGAUUGGGAAGGCUACUACAGCCUGGAAGACAGCGAGGGCUAUCUUUUCCAGGAGUCAAGCGGGGGCUACUACUUCUUCGAGUGCUACAAAGGGGAAGGCUUCUAUUAUCAGAAUGAAGAGAGUGACUAUUUUCAUGCUGGACAGAGCUUGUAUGACAAGGAACAAGGCUCGCCCUUGGCAGUGGUGGCAUGGUGGGCGACGGUCUUGGCGCUGACCAUGGCCGCAAGGUGACUGCUCAUGUGGGCGACGGCCUCACUGCUGGCGUCCAGGUGCCUGUCAAGGUGGGCGAUGGCCUCACUGCUGGCGGCCAGGUGCCUGUCAAGGUGGGCGACGGCAGGCUUCCUAAUGUUGCCAGCUUCCUCAGGCGUUUCUCUAUCCACGCACCAAAGUAGUGACCUUGGGACCAUAAAGUGCCAGUCCUUUGAACUUUUGAGUGUAGUAAUUAGCUUCCAACCUCAUACUUUGAAACUGUUUAGUCGUAGCUUUUAGCGUUAUUUCUGCAUAUACCUGGUCUGCGAGAGAAAUGUUUUUCGUCAGACUUCAUGGCUGAAUGUCACUACGGUGAAUUCGAAUGGUGCAAGCAGUCUUUUGCAGAUUGCCUGAUUGAAGGAAAAGUUUUGCCACUCAUUUUAGAUUCUGAGUUUUAUCACUCCAUCUGUUUUGCAAGUUUAGAACUUUUUUAGGUGGAACUGGUCAAACUCGAUGAAGUUUGUACUGGGAGAAUCCAACUUCAAUUAUUUUGAAACGGAACGAGUAUUAUACCAAGCUCUGAUGGAGAAGAUGCCUUCUAGGAUGAGAUCCUAGGCAGAAACUAUUGCACAAAUCAAUCGCCAUAUAAAUAUGGCAGAGAACUAGAU
RNAcentral lists this long non-coding RNA (2155 nucleotides) under Hordeum vulgare. Its description in RNAcentral is "long non-coding RNA (HVUL_LNC016970)". The record is from RNAcentral. Lineage: Eukaryota; Viridiplantae; Streptophyta; Magnoliopsida; Poales; Poaceae.